CCCUUAGAUGUUCUGGGCCGCACGCGCGCUACACUGAUGCAUUCAACGAGUCUAAAACCUGGUCUGAUAGGGCUGGGUAAUCUUUUGAAAGUGCAUCGUGAUUGGGAUAGAUGAUUGCAAUUCUUCAUCUUCAACGAGGAAUGCCUAGUAGGCGCAAGUCAUCAGCUUGCGUCGAUUACGUCCCUGCCCUUUGUACACACCGCCCGUCGCUCCUACCGAUUGGGUGUGCUGGUGAAAUGUUCGGAUCGGCCGCUUGUCGCGGUUUCCGCGGCUCGUGGCUGAGAAGUUCAUUAAACCCUCCCACCUAGAGGAAGGAGAAGUCGUAACA
Molecule: ribosomal RNA, 328 nt
Filed under: uncultured eukaryote
Lineage: Eukaryota
Description: partial 18S ribosomal RNA
Rfam family: Eukaryotic small subunit ribosomal RNA
Source: RNAcentral